Molecule: ribosomal RNA, 305 nt
Filed under: uncultured bacterium
Lineage: Bacteria
Description: bacterial SSU rRNA
Rfam family: Bacterial small subunit ribosomal RNA
Source: RNAcentral
UGGCCUACGGGGGGCAGCAGUGAGGAAUAUUGGUCAAUGGACGAGAGUCUGAACCAGCCAAGUAGCGUGAAGGAUGACUGCCCUAUGGGUUGUAAACUUCUUUUAUAUGGGAAUAAAGUGAGCCACGUGUGGCUUUUUGUAUGUACCAUACGAAUAAGGAUCGGCUAACUCCGUGCCAGCAGCCGCGGUAAUACGGAGGAUCCGAGUGUUAUCCGGAUUUAUUGGGUUUAAAGGGAGCGUAGAUGGGUUGUUAAGUCAGUUGUGAAAGUUUGCGGCUCAACCGUAAAAUUGCAAUUGAUACUGGC